UGAGGAACCCGAAAGAUCGAAUGGGAAGAUUCAGCGUCAGCGGCGUUAACUCGGCGGAUCGUGCGUCGUCUCGGACUUCGGUCUUGGGACGCGUAAUCUUUCCAUGCCUUGUUUAGCGUCGUCGUCGUGCACUUCUCCCCUAGUAGAACGUCGCGACCCGUUGGGUGCCGGUCUACGGUCCGAGCGGUAGACUGUCGCGUCGCUUCGGCGCACGCGGCAGACCCUCGGUCACCCGGCCGGCUGCCCGGCGGUCGAACUUAUAAGGUAUCUUGCCGCAAUUAUCGAACUGCGUCGGGCCCGUCGCAAGCGAGGCCAGUGUCUUACGGAGUUACGGACCUGGUGCCGUACCCGUGGCUGGCCAGCUGUUGGCAGGCGGAGUCCUUUGACGGGCAAUACACAAUGAUACCGGUCUGCGACGCUACUGCUUUGGGUACUCUCAGGACCCGUCUUGAAACACGGACCAAGGAGUCUAACAUGUGCGCGAGUCAUUGGGACUCUAAAACCUAAAGGCGCAAUGAAAGUGAAGGUCGUACUAAGGUCGACCGAGGGAGGAUGGGCCGCGUUUACGCGCGGCUCCGCACUCCCGGGGCGUCUCGUUCUCAUUGCGAGAAGAGGCGCACCCAGAGCGUACACGUUGGGACCCGAAAGAUGGUGAACUAUGCCUGGUCAGGACGAAGUCAGGGGAAACCCUGAUGGAGGUCCGUAGCGAUUCUGACGUGCAAAUCGAUCGUCGGAACUGGGUAUAGG
This 747-nucleotide ribosomal RNA is filed under the name Polistes metricus. RNAcentral's name for it is "eukaryotic LSU rRNA". It matches the Rfam family "Eukaryotic large subunit ribosomal RNA", at positions 422 to 921 of the family's 3401-position model. Lineage: Eukaryota; Metazoa; Arthropoda; Insecta; Hymenoptera; Vespidae. The record is from RNAcentral.